CUUACCAAGAUUCUCCAUCCCAAUUUUCUUGUGCUUCUUCUUCUCAUAGCCAGCAGCAGAAGACACAACUUUACUGGAUUUUCCUCCUCCAACAGAGUGAGAGUUGGAGUACUCUCCUCCGCCUCCUCCACCGCCGCCGGAGGCAGGUGGAGCAGAAGCAGAGAUCGGCAUUGGGGACGCAGCUCCGGCGGCGGCGGCAUCCGGUGCAUACUUCCUCGGCCUCCCUCUCUUCUUCUUCUCUCCGGUGACCGGAGAUGACAGCACCACCAUCUGCUGCUGAUGAUGUUGAGAAACCCCUCCGCCGCCG
This 307-nucleotide long non-coding RNA is filed under the name Linum usitatissimum (flax). RNAcentral describes it as "long non-coding RNA (LUSI_LNC000969)". The record is from RNAcentral. Lineage: Eukaryota; Viridiplantae; Streptophyta; Magnoliopsida; Malpighiales; Linaceae.